AACGAACGCUGGCGGCAGGCUUAACACAUGCAAGUCGAGCGCCCCGCCAGGGGAGCGGCUGACUGGUGGGUAACGCGUGGGGACGUACCUUUGGGUUCGGAACAACUCCGUUAAACUGGGGCUAAUACCGGAUAAGCCCUAACGGGGAAAGGUUUAUCGCCGACGGAUCGGCCCGCGGCUGAUUAGCUGGGUGGUGAGGUAACGGCUCAUCAAGGCGACGAUCAGGAGCUUGUGUGAGAGGAUGAUCAGCGACACUGGCAGUGGGACACGGCCCGGACUCCUACGGGAGGCAGCCGUGGGGGAUAUAGCACAACGGGCGGAGUGAUGAUGCAGCCAGGCCGGGUAAGUGAUGAAGGCCGUAGGGUUGUAAAGCUCUUUUGUCCGGGAAUAUAAUGACGGUACCGAAAGAAUAAGCCCCGGCUAACUUCGUG
This 431-nucleotide ribosomal RNA is filed under the name uncultured bacterium. RNAcentral describes it as "partial 16S ribosomal RNA". It matches the Rfam family "Bacterial small subunit ribosomal RNA", at positions 29 to 507 of the family's 1533-position model. The record is from RNAcentral.